RNAcentral lists this unclassified non-coding RNA (218 nucleotides) under Borreliella valaisiana. RNAcentral describes it as "partial 5S-23S ribosomal RNA intergenic spacer". The record is from RNAcentral. Lineage: Bacteria; Pseudomonadati; Spirochaetota; Spirochaetia; Spirochaetales; Borreliaceae.
UAAGUUAUUGCCAGGGUUUUUAUUUUGUACUUUAAACCUUAAAUUUAUUUUUUAUAUUUUUUUAAUGUUCAUGUUUUUGAAUGUUUUAUUCAAAUAAUGUAAAAAAUAAAAUAGAUAUUGACAUGGAUUGAACAAAAGAUAUAUAUUAUUUUAUGUUGCAUAAACAAAUUGGCAAAAUAGAGAUGGAAGAUAAAAAUAUGGUCAAAGUAAUAAGAGUC